Molecule: ribosomal RNA, 468 nt
Filed under: uncultured bacterium
Lineage: Bacteria
Description: partial 16S ribosomal RNA
Rfam family: Bacterial small subunit ribosomal RNA
Source: RNAcentral
GACGAACGCUGGCGGCGUGCUUAACACAUGCAAGUCGAACGGAAAGGCCCUGCUUUUGUGGGGUGCUCGAGUGGCGAACGGGUGAGUAACACGUGAGUAACCUGCCCUUGACUUUGGGAUAACUUCAGGAAACUGGGGCUAAUACCGGAUAGGAGCUCCUGCUGCAUGGUGGGUGUUGGAAAGUUUCGGCGGUUGGGGAUGGACUCGCGGCUUCUCAGCUUGUUGGUGGGGUAGUGGCUUACCAAGGCUUUGACGGGUAGCCGGCCUGAGAGGGUGACCGGGGACAUGGGGACUGAGAGACGGCGCAGAAGGCUACGGGAGGCAGCAGUGGGGAAUAUUGCACAAUGGGCGGAAGCCUGAUGCAGCAACGCCGCGUGCGGGAUGACGGCCUUCGGGUUGUAAACCGCUUUCGACUGUGACGAAGCGGGAGUGACGGUAAUGGGUAAAGAAGCACCGGCUAACUACGUG